Molecule: ribosomal RNA, 208 nt
Filed under: uncultured bacterium
Lineage: Bacteria
Description: partial 16S ribosomal RNA
Rfam family: Bacterial small subunit ribosomal RNA
Source: RNAcentral
UGCGUAGGCGGGUUUUUAAGUUCAGGGGUGAAAUCCUGGAGCUCAACUCCAGAACUGCCUUUGAUACUGAAGAUCUUGAGUCCGGGAGAGGUGAGUGGAACUGCGAGCGUAGAGGUGAAAUUCGUAGAUAUUCGCAAGAACACCAGUGGCGAAGGCGGCUCACUGGCCCGGUACUGACGCUGAGGCACGAAAGCGUGGGGAGCAAACA